CGACUAAGCAAAGUCAACAGAUGUUAUCUGGCAGAUCCUGAAUGUGAACCGGUUGAUGGGGGGUGGACAAACUUUACCUACUGGUGGAAUCCGUGCACAGUGACGUGUGGAGGAGGUAUACAAUCAGGCCAGGAACAUCGCACCUGUACAAAUCCUCGUCCUUCCAAAGACGGAAAACCCUGUGUGGGAUCUCUUCACCGACGAAAAGCAUCACGGAACUGUAAUACACAUCCUUGUCCAGUUGAUGGAAAGUGGUCAGAGUACGGCCCAUUCAGUAAGUGGAGCAAGUGUUCUUUGUCUUGUGGAGUGGGAAAAGGAACAAAACAGCGUUUUCAAAAAAGAGAUUGCAACAACCCACCACCACAAUACGGCGGAGAAAGCUGCAGAGGAAGUAAUGUCCAUGCUGAGAGAAGACAAUGCAGUUUGAAUCCCUGUCCAGGUAACAUUAUCUGCAUAUACUACACAUUACUUGCCUUAAAACAGACUCAAUACAAAGUCCAAAAUUCAGGUUAUUUCUGCCUCUGAUCUACAGGUAUGAAAGGCAUAUAUCAAACACAAAGUGGUUCCAAAACUUUCCCAGAAACUUAUUUAACAGUGAUUGCGAAAAGUCUGGUCGAUAUGUUUUUUGAUAAAUUAUGCUGUAUUUUAUCGCACAUUAUGUAAUUG
Long non-coding RNA from Ostrea edulis (European flat oyster), 666 nucleotides. RefSeq lists it as uncharacterized. The record is from RefSeq and is a predicted model, not a curated record. The transcript has 3 exons. Lineage: Eukaryota; Metazoa; Mollusca; Bivalvia; Ostreida; Ostreidae.